UAGGGAAUAUUGGACAAUGGGCGCAAGCCUGAUCCAGCCAUGCCGCGUGAGUGAAGAAGGCCCUCGGGUUGUAAAGCUCUUUUGUCCGGAAAGAAAAGCAUCGGGCUAAUACCCUGGUGUUCUGACGGUACCGGAAGAAUAAGCACCGGCUAACUUCGUGCCAGCAGCCGCGGUAAUACGAAGGGUGCAAGCGUUACUCGGAAUUACUGGGCGUAAAGCGUGCGUAGGUGGUUUGUUAAGUCUGAUGUGAAAGCCCUGGGCUCAACCUGGGAAUGGCAUUGGAAACUGGCGGACUCGAGUGCGGUAGAGGGGUGUGGAAUUCCCGGUGUAGCAGUGAAAUGCGUAGAGAUCGGGAGGAACACCAGUGGCGAAGGCGACACCCUGGACCAGCACUGACACUGAGGCACGAAAGCGUGGGGAGCAAACAGGAUUAGAUACCCUGGUAGUCCACGCCCUAAACGAUGCGAACUGGAUGUUGGGUGCAACUUGGCACUCAGUAUCGAAGCUAACGCGUUAAGUUCGCCGCCUGGGGAGUACGGUCGCAAGACUGAAACUCAAAGGAAUUGACGGGGUCAUAGCGUG
This 582-nucleotide ribosomal RNA is filed under the name uncultured bacterium. RNAcentral describes it as "partial 16S ribosomal RNA". It matches the Rfam family "Bacterial small subunit ribosomal RNA", at positions 355 to 929 of the family's 1533-position model. The record is from RNAcentral.